Molecule: ribosomal RNA, 465 nt
Filed under: Vreelandella stevensii
Lineage: Bacteria; Pseudomonadati; Pseudomonadota; Gammaproteobacteria; Oceanospirillales; Halomonadaceae
Description: partial 16S ribosomal RNA
Rfam family: Bacterial small subunit ribosomal RNA
Source: RNAcentral
CCUACGGGGGGCUGCAGUGGGGAAUAUUGGACAAUGGGGGCAACCCUGAUCCAGCCAUGCCGCGUGUGUGAAGAAGGCCCUCGGGUUGUAAAGCACUUUCAGUGAGGAAGAACGCCUGGUGGUUAAUACCCAUCAGGAAAGACAUCACUCACAGAAGAAGCACCGGCUAACUCCGUGCCAGCAGCCGCGGUAAUACGGAGGGUGCGAGCGUUAAUCGGAAUUACUGGGCGUAAAGCGCGCGUAGGUGGCUUGAUAAGCCGGUUGUGAAAGCCCCGGGCUCAACCUGGGAACGGCAUCCGGAACUGGCAAGCUAGAGUGCAGGAGAGGAAGGUAGAAUUCCCGGUGUAGCGGUGAAAUGCGUAGAGAUCGGGAGGAAUACCAGUGGCGAAGGCGGCCUUCUGGACUGACACUGACACUGAGGUGCGAAAGCGUGGGUAGCAAACAGGAUUAGAUACCCGAGUAGUC